GAUCCUGCCGGAGGUCACCGCUAUUGGAAUACGCUUAAGCCAUGCGAGUCGAUCGGGUUCAGACCCGAGGCAUACUGCUCAGUAACACGUGGAUAACCUGCCCUAAGGUGGGGGACAAUCUCGGGAAACCGAGCAUAAUACCCCAUAGGCCUGGGACGCUGGAAUGCCCCCAGGCUGAAAGUAUUUCGCCUUAGGAUGGAUCUGCGGCCUAUCAGGUCGUAGUGAGGGUAACGGCCUCACUAGCCGACGACGGGUACGGGCCUUGAAAGAGGUUGCCCGGAGUUGGACUCUGAGACACGAGUCCAGGCCCUACGGGGCGCAGCAGGCGCGAAAACUGCGCAAUGCGCGAAAGCGCGACGCGGGAAUUCCAAGUGCUACUACUUUGUAGUAGCUGUUCGAGAUCCUAAAAAGAUUUUGAAGUAAGGGCUGGGUAAGACGGGUGCCAGCCGCCGCGGUAAUACCCGCAGCCCGAGUGGUGAUCGUUAUUAUUGGGUCUAAAGCGUCCGUAGCCAGCCUGAUAAAUCCCUAGGUAAAUCGAACGGCUUAACCGUUCGGCUUCUGGGGAGACUGUCAGGCUCGGGACCGGGAGAGGUUUGAGGUACUCUUGGGGUAGAGGUGAAAUUCUGUAAUCCUAAGGGGACCACCAGUGGCGAAAGCGUCAAACUUGAACGGAUCCAACGGUGAGGGACGAAGGCCAGGGGCGCAAACCGGAUUAGAUACCCGGGUAGUCCUGGCUGUAAACGCUGUGGGCUUGGUGUUGGGGGUCCCACGAGGGCACCCAGUGCCGGAGAGAAGUUGUUAAGCUCACCACCUGGGGAGUACGGUCGCAAGACUGAAACUUAAAGGAAUUGGCGGGGGAGCACCGCAACGGGAGGAGCGUGCGGUUUAAUUGGAUUCAACGCCGGA
Molecule: ribosomal RNA, 906 nt
Filed under: uncultured archaeon
Lineage: Archaea
Description: bacterial SSU rRNA
Rfam family: Archaeal small subunit ribosomal RNA
Source: RNAcentral